GCCUCCCUACGCCUUCGGGUUAUGGGGGGGAAAACUCUGACUGUUGUUUGUGCCUAUGCCUCAAACCGCAGUUCUGAGUAUUCGGCCUUCUUGGAGACCCUGAAUGGAGCCCUGCAGGGGGCUCCAGUAGGGGACUCCGUAGUCUUGCUGGGAGACUUCAACGCACACGUGGGAAGCGAUGGAGACACCUGGAGAGGCGUGAUUGGGAGGAAGGGCCUCCCUGAUCUAAACCCGAACGGUCGUUUGUUGUUGGACUUCUGUGCUAGUCAUGGAAUGGCCAUAACAAACACCAUGUUAGAACAUAAGGAUGCUCAUAAGUGCACGUGGUACCAGAGCACCCUAGGCCAAAGGUCAAUGAUCGAUUUCGUAAUCGUAUCAUCUGAUCUGAGGCCGCAUGUUUUGGACACUCGGGUGAAGAGAGGGGCGGAGCUGUCGACUGAUCACCAUCUGGUGGUGAGUUGGAUCAAGGGGUGGGGGAAGACUCUGGACAGACCUGGUAAACCCAAACGGGUAGUGCGGGUGAACUGGGAACGUCUGGAGGAAGCCCCUGUCCUGGGGAUCUUUAACUCACACCUUCGGCGGAGCUUUUCAGCCAUCCCUGUGGAGGUUGGGGGCAUUGAACCUGAGUGGGCGAUGUUCAAAACCUCUAUUGCUGAAGCUGCGGUGAUGAGCUGUUGUCUCAAGGUCUUAGGUGCCUCAAGGGGCGGUAACCCUCGAACACCGCGGUGGACCCCGGUGGUCAGGGAAGCCGUCCGACUGAAGAAGGAGUCCUUCCGGGUUAUGUUAUCCAGGAGGACUCCGGAAACAGUUGCAGGGUAUCGAAGGACUAGAAGGGCGGCAGCUUCUGCCGUGUCAGAGGCAAAGCAGCGGGUGUGGGAGAAGUUCGGAGAAGCUAUGGAGAAGGACUUUCGGUCGGCACCAAGGUGCUUCUGGAAAACCAUCCGGCACCUCAGGAGGGGGAAGCGAGGAACCAUCCAAGCUGUGUACAGCAAGGGUGGGACCCUGCUGACUUCAACUGAGAAGAUUAUCGGCCGCUGGAAGGAGCACUUUGAGGAACUCCUGAAUCCGACUAACACGCCCUCUAUGGUUGAGGCAGAGCUGGAAGCUGAUGGGGGAUCAUCGUCAAUUUCCCUGAUGGAAGUCACUGAGGUAGUCAAACAACUCCACAGUGGCAAAGCCGCAGGGGUUGAUGAGAUCCGUCCAGAAAUGCUGAAGGCUUUGGGUGUUGAGGGGCUGUCUUGGUUGACACGCCUCGUCAACAUUGCGUGGAAGUCUGGGACAGUGCCUAGGGGGUGGCAGACCGGGGUGGUGGUUCCCC
RNAcentral lists this long non-coding RNA (1318 nucleotides) under Cottoperca gobio. RNAcentral's name for it is "lncRNA (ENSCGOG00000009069.1)". Lineage: Eukaryota; Metazoa; Chordata; Actinopteri; Perciformes; Bovichtidae. The record is from RNAcentral.